AGUCGAGCGAAUGGAUUAAGAGCUUGCUCUUAUGAAGUUAGCGGCGGACGGGUGAGUAACACGUGGGUAACCUGCCCAUAAGACUGGGAUAACUCCGGGAAACCGGGGCUAAUACCGGAUAAUAUUUUGAACUGCAUGGUUCGAAAUUGAAAGGCGGCUUCGGCUGUCACUUAUGGAUGGACCCGCGUCGCAUUAGCUAGUUGGUGAGGUAACGGCUCACCAAGGCAACGAUGCGUAGCCGACCUGAGAGGGUGAUCGGCCACACUGGGACUGAGACACGGCCCAGACUCCUACGGGAGGCAGCAGUAGGGAAUCUUCCGCAAUGGACGAAAGUCUGACGGAGCAACGCCGCGUGAGUGAUGAAGGCUUUCGGGUCGUAAAACUCUGUUGUUAGGGAAGAACAAGUGCUAGUUGAAUAAGCUGGCACCUUGACGGUACCUAACCAGAAAGCCACGGCUAACUACGUGCCAGCAGCCGCGGUAAUACGUAGGUGGCAAGCGUUAUCCGGAAUUAUUGGGCGUAAAGCGCGCGCAGGUGGUUUCUUAAGUCUGAUGUGAAAGCCCACGGCUCAACCGUGGAGGGUCAUUGGAAACUGGGAGACUUGAGUGCAGAAGAGGAAAGUGGAAUUCCAUGUGUAGCGGUGAAAUGCGUAGAGAUAUGGAGGAACACCAGUGGCGAAGGCGACUUUCUGGUCUGUAA
This 699-nucleotide ribosomal RNA is filed under the name uncultured Bacillus sp. RNAcentral describes it as "bacterial SSU rRNA". It matches the Rfam family "Bacterial small subunit ribosomal RNA", at positions 60 to 739 of the family's 1533-position model. Lineage: Bacteria; Bacillati; Bacillota; Bacilli; Caryophanales; Bacillaceae. The record is from RNAcentral.